Corticium candelabrum is the source of this 685-nucleotide long non-coding RNA. RefSeq lists it as uncharacterized. Lineage: Eukaryota; Metazoa; Porifera; Homoscleromorpha; Homosclerophorida; Plakinidae. The transcript has 4 exons. The record is from RefSeq and is a predicted model, not a curated record.
CCAACUGUCGUGUUGGAGACGGCCAAUCUGUAGUUGUAGCUUGUUGUCUUAUGGCUUUGGAAAUUUUGGAUGUGGGCACAACAAUGAGAGUCUCCGCGACGGUGCUAACAUCCAACAUUACCACGUGCCAACUUCCCACUGUCCCAACAUUCCGGAAGUAGAAGGGAGAGGGAUUGGCAUUUCUAGCACGACAGAAGGGAUCACGUGAUGUCGUCUGAACGUCGUCUCUACCUAACAUAAUUUAGUUUGUCUUGUACAGUUAUCGGUCGACGAGUCCGGCUGCUGUCAAGAAGAGAUCAAUACAGCUGCUGCAGCGAUUGAAGUGUGUGCAUGAUGAACUGACUCACGAGCGACUACGUAACGAUCUGUCAGCAAAAGUUGUAACAUUUGGCUCAUUGUCUCGUGUUGACUCACGAGUUUUGCCGACUGUCGGACACACAUACUAAUCACGAAGACAAAUUACAGAUCAAGAACAUUAUAUACCAUUCGGUGAAGGACUCGGUCGGCGGUACUAAAACUGGUUUAACUGGUAUACCUUUCAUCACUACAGACAUACUGUACUGUUUGUUCUUAAUACAAUACUCAUGUCGAUUUGUACUGUAUAUAUACAUAGUGCUGUUAACUGCUGUUUCUCGACUUUACCGUUGUAUGUACGAUAUUAUAUGGUGAAUACAUAUUGUUGGCA